This 219-nucleotide unclassified non-coding RNA is filed under the name Hevea brasiliensis (rubber tree). The record is from RNAcentral. Lineage: Eukaryota; Viridiplantae; Streptophyta; Magnoliopsida; Malpighiales; Euphorbiaceae.
GGGGACGACCACCACAAGAACCUAAACACGAGCAGCAGUUGAGAACUUAAGCAAAAUAUCGAACUCAACACCUAAAUUAAAGAGUUCUUCCUCCGUUUUCUUUGAAAACCUGUUUUACUUAUCUUAGGCUAUCUCACUGAAACUUUAUAAGUAUUUUCUUUUCCUAAGAAUCCAACUUCAAACUAAAACCUUUAACAAUUUUCUCCACUAAAAUCUCCA